Molecule: ribosomal RNA, 274 nt
Filed under: uncultured bacterium
Lineage: Bacteria
Description: partial 16S ribosomal RNA
Rfam family: Bacterial small subunit ribosomal RNA
Source: RNAcentral
AUACGGAGGGGGCUAGCGUUGUUCGGAAUUACUGGGCGUAAAGCGCGCGUAGGCGGAUUGGUCAGUUGGGGGUGAAAUCCCGAGGCUUAACCUCGGAACUGCCUUCAAAACUGCCAGUCUUGAGUCCGAGAGAGGUGAGUGGAAUUCCUAGUGUAGAGGUGAAAUUCGUAGAUAUUAGGAAGAACACCAGUGGCGAAGGCGGCUCACUGGCCCGGUACUGACGCUGAGGCGCGAAAGCGUGGGGAGCAAACAGAAUUAGAAACCCCAGUAGUCC